Molecule: ribosomal RNA, 523 nt
Filed under: uncultured bacterium
Lineage: Bacteria
Description: bacterial SSU rRNA
Rfam family: Bacterial small subunit ribosomal RNA
Source: RNAcentral
AACGAACGUUGGCGGCGUGGAUUAGGCAUGCAAGUCGAACGAGAACUGUCCCACACCUUGUUCUCUCCUUCUGGGAGAGGGUGAGGUGUGGGGCAGGGAAAGUGGCGAAAGGGGCAGUAAUGUAUGGGUAACCUACCCUGAGGAUGGGGAUAGCCACGGGAAACUGUGGGUAAUACCCGGCGAUGUAGCGGGGAAGCAUUCUCUUGCUACCAAAUGAAUUUCGCCUUGGGAGGGGCCCAUAUGGUAUUAGCUAGUUGGUGAGGUAACGGCUCACCAAGGCAAAGAUGCCUAGCGGGUGUGAGAGCACGACCCGCGCCACUGGCACUGAGACACUGGCCAGACACCUACGGGUGGCUGCAGUCGAGGAUCUUCGGCAAUGGGCGCAAGCCUGACCGAGCGACGCCGCGUGUGCGAUGAAGGCCUUCGGGUUGUAAAGCACUGUCGAGGGGGAGGAAAGCCGUAAGGUCUGACCUAUCCCUGGAGGAAGCACGGGCUAAGUUCGUGCCAGCAGCCGCGGUAACAC